This 203-nucleotide long non-coding RNA is filed under the name Elaeis guineensis (African oil palm). RNAcentral's name for it is "long non-coding RNA (EGUI_LNC055525)". The record is from RNAcentral. Lineage: Eukaryota; Viridiplantae; Streptophyta; Magnoliopsida; Arecales; Arecaceae.
UCUUCCCUCUCUUUCUUCUCUAAGUUUGCAUCCCCACUAAAGUUUUACUUUCUCUUUAGUUUCUCUCUCUAAAAAUUUUAUUUUUCCUAUCUAGAAUUAUUUCUUUAUAUAUAAAAUUUAUCUCUUUAUGAUUGAUUGAGUAAUGAUAUUUUUUUAAUGAUUUUGAUCGAGCUUAGUGAAAGAUCCUGAUUCAUAGUUGUUGG